Molecule: ribosomal RNA, 253 nt
Filed under: uncultured bacterium
Lineage: Bacteria
Description: partial 16S ribosomal RNA
Rfam family: Bacterial small subunit ribosomal RNA
Source: RNAcentral
GACGGAGGGGGCUAGCGUUGUUCGGAAUUACUGGGCGUAAAGGGCGCGUAGGCGGCUAUUUAAGUGAGGCGUGAAAGCCCUGGGCUUAACCCAGGAGGUGCGUUUCAUACUGGAUGGCUUGAGUACGAGAGAGGAAAGCGGAAUUCCUAGUGUAGAGGUGAAAUUCGUAGAUAUUAGGAAGAACACCAGAGGCGAAGGCGGCUCUCUGGCUCGUAACUGACGCUGAGGCGCGAAAGCGUGGGGAGCAAACAGG